This 21-nucleotide non-coding RNA is filed under the name Caenorhabditis elegans. The record is from RNAcentral. Lineage: Eukaryota; Metazoa; Nematoda; Chromadorea; Rhabditida; Rhabditidae.
UACUUCACGGGAAGGAACCCG